This 30-nucleotide non-coding RNA is filed under the name Rattus norvegicus (Norway rat). The record is from RNAcentral. Lineage: Eukaryota; Metazoa; Chordata; Mammalia; Rodentia; Muridae.
UGCUAAUGCUUGGAUGCUUGAAGGCUCAAC